Molecule: ribosomal RNA, 254 nt
Filed under: uncultured bacterium
Lineage: Bacteria
Description: partial 16S ribosomal RNA
Rfam family: Bacterial small subunit ribosomal RNA
Source: RNAcentral
UACGGGGGGAGCAAGCGUUGUUCGGAUUUACUGGGCGUAAAGGGCGCGUAGGCGGUCGUGACAAGUCACUUGUGAAAUCUCCGGGCUUAACUCGGAACGGUCAAGUGAUACUGUCGGACUAGAGUACAGAAGGGGCAACUGGAAUUCUCGGUGUAGCGGUGAAAUGCGUAGAUAUCGAGAGGAACACCUGCGGCGAAGGCGGCAUCCUGGACUGGUCCUGACACUCAGGAGCGAAAGCGUGGGGAGCGAUCCGG